This 496-nucleotide ribosomal RNA is filed under the name uncultured bacterium. Its description in RNAcentral is "partial 16S ribosomal RNA". It matches the Rfam family "Bacterial small subunit ribosomal RNA", at positions 28 to 507 of the family's 1533-position model. The record is from RNAcentral.
GAUGAACGCUGGCGGCGUGCCUAAUACAUGCAAGUCGAGCGAACAGAUGAGGAGCUUGCUUCUCUGACGUUAGCGGCGGACGGGUGAGUAACACGUGGAUAACCUACCUAUAAGACUGGGAUAACUUCGGGAAACCGGAGCUAAUACCGGAUAAUAUUUUGAACCGCAUGGUUCAAUAGUGAAAGACGGUUUUGCUGUCACUUAUAGAUGGAUCCGCGCUGCAUUAGCUAGUUGGUAAGGUAACGGCUUACCAAGGCAACGAUGCGUAGCCGACCUGAGAGGGGGACGGGCCCACUUGGACUGGAGCACGGGCCAGGAUCCCACGGGAGGGAAGAGGAAGGAAACUUCCGCAAUGGGCAGAAAGCUGGCGGAGCAACCGCGCGUGGAGUGAGGAAGGCUUCGGAUCGUUAAACUCUGUUAAUAAGGGAGAACAAUAUUGUAAGGAAAUAGGCACGACUUGGCGGGACCUAAUCAAAAAGCCACGGCUAACUACGUG